RNAcentral lists this ribosomal RNA (382 nucleotides) under uncultured bacterium. RNAcentral describes it as "bacterial SSU rRNA". It matches the Rfam family "Bacterial small subunit ribosomal RNA", at positions 30 to 414 of the family's 1533-position model. The record is from RNAcentral.
AUUGAACGCUGGCGGAAUGCUUUACACAUGCAAGUCGAGCGGCAGCGCGGGGCAACCUGGCGGCGAGCGGCGAACGGGUGAGUAAUGUAUCGGAACGUAUCCUUAAGUGGGGGACAACUAGUCGAAAGACUAGCUAAUACCGCAUACGAUCGAGAGAUGAAAGUGGGGGACCGCAAGGCCUCACGCUUUUGGAGCGGCCGAUAUCCGAUUAGCUUGUUGGUGGGGUAAAGGCCUACCAAGGCAACGAUCUGUAGUUGGUCUGAGAGGACGACCAGCCACACUGGGACUGAGACACGGCCCAGACUCCUACGGGAGGCAGCAGUGGGGAAUUUUGGACAAUGGGCGCAAGCCUGAUCCAGCAAUGCCGCGUGCAGGAAGAAGG